UUACUGGGCGUAAAGCGCGCGUAGGCGGUUUGUUAAGUCAGAUGUGAAAUCCCCGGGCUCAACCUGGGAAUGGCAUUUGAGACUGGCAGGCUAGAGUAUGGUAGAGGUGAGUGGAAUUUCAGGUGUAGCGGUGAAAUGCGUAGAGAUCUGAAGGAACAUCAGUGGCGAAGGCGACUCACUGGGCCAUUACUGACGCUGAGGUGCGAAAGCGUGGGUAGCAAACAGGAUUAGAUACCCUGGUAGUCCACGCCCUAAACGAUGUCAACUAGGUGUAUGGAGAAAAUAUUCUUUGUGUAUCGAAGCUAACGCGAUAAGUUGACCGCCUGGGGAGUACGGUCGCAAGACUAAAACUCAAAUGAAUUGACGGGGGCCCGCACAAGCGGUGGAGCAUGUGGUUUAAUUCGAUGCAACGCGAAGAACCUUACCUGGCCUUGACAUGU
RNAcentral lists this ribosomal RNA (440 nucleotides) under uncultured bacterium. RNAcentral describes it as "bacterial SSU rRNA". It matches the Rfam family "Bacterial small subunit ribosomal RNA", at positions 551 to 989 of the family's 1533-position model. The record is from RNAcentral.